GAGUUUGAUUCUGGCUCAGAUUGAACGCUGGCGGCAUGCCUUACACAUGCAAGUCGAACGGUAACAGGUCUUCAGACGCUGACGAGUGGCGAACGGGUGAGUAAUACAUCGGAACGUGCCCAGUCGUGGGGGAUAACUACUCGAAAGAGUAGCUAAUACCGCAUACGAUCUGAGGAUGAAAGCGGGGGACCUUCGGGCCUCGCGCGAUUGGAGCGGCCGAUGGCAGAUUAGGUAGUUGGUGGGAUAAAAGCUUACCAAGCCGACGAUCUGUAGCUGGUCUGAGAGGACGACCAGCCACACUGGGACUGAGACACGGCCCAGACUCCUACGGGAGGCAGCAGUGGGGAAUUUUGGACAAUGGGCGAAAGCCUGAUCCAGCAAUGCCGCGUGCAGGAUGAAGGCCUUCGGGUUGUAAACUGCUUUUGUACGGAACGAAAAAGCUUCUCCUAAUACGAGAGGCCCAUGACGGUACCGUAAGAAUAAGCACCGGCUAACUACGUGCCAGCAGCCGCGGUAAUACGUAGGGUGCGAGCGUUAAUCGGAAUUACUGGGCGUAAAGCGUGCGCAGGCGGUUAUGUAAGACAGAUGUGAAAUCCCCGGGCUC
Molecule: ribosomal RNA, 604 nt
Filed under: uncultured beta proteobacterium
Lineage: Bacteria; Pseudomonadati; Pseudomonadota; Betaproteobacteria
Description: bacterial SSU rRNA
Rfam family: Bacterial small subunit ribosomal RNA
Source: RNAcentral